Molecule: ribosomal RNA, 539 nt
Filed under: uncultured bacterium
Lineage: Bacteria
Description: bacterial SSU rRNA
Rfam family: Bacterial small subunit ribosomal RNA
Source: RNAcentral
AAUAGAUACCCGGGUAGUCCAUGCCGUAAACGUUGGGAACUAGAUGUAGGGACCAUUCCACGGUUUCUGUGUCGCAGCUAACGCAUUAAGUUCCCCGCCUGGGGAGUACGGCCGCAAGGCUAAAACUCAAAGGAAUUGACGGGGGCCCGCACAAGCGGCGGAGCAUGCGGAUUAAUUCGAGGCAACGCGAAGAACCUUACCAAGGCUUGACAUAUACGAGAACGCCCUAGAAAUAGGGAACUCUUUGGACACUCGUAUACAGGUGGUGCAUGGUUGUCGUCAGCUCGUGUCGUGAGAUGUUGGGUUAAGUCCCGCAACGAGCGCAACCCUCGUUCUAUGUUACCAGCACGUCAUGGUGGGAACUCAUAGGAGACCGCCGGGUCAACUCGGAGGAAGUGGGAUGACGUCAAAGUCAUCAUGCCCCUUAUGUCUUGGGCUUCACACAUGCUACAAUGGCCGUACAAAGGGCUGCAAUACCGCAAGGUGGAGCGAAAUCCCAAAAAAGCCGGUCUCAGUUCGGAUUGAGGUCUGCAACUCGA